GAUUUGCAAAAUAAAAGCCACUGCAUCCCAUCGCCCACCCCACUGCAGCAUUCAAGAUUCAUCAGUUCACCGAGAGAAUUCCCACCAGGCAGAAAGCCAAAGGCCGAUCACUUUAAAAUGCAGGAUUCCAAUGCUUUAAAAGAACAAUCGCUGUUAUGACGUAAUCUGUAUUAGUAAAGUUCUGCACCCCCAACCCCCUCGUUCCUUGAACAUGAAAGAUUUGACUCAAUUAAAAAGAGUCUAAGUCCCUCAGUCAAGGAAGAUAUAAAACGAAAAGGUCCAUUUCUAACAGGAAAAAAGUCUGCAAGCUCCUUCAAGUUCAUCUUCCACAGGAGCCUUCAAGGAAGAAGAGGUAGGGAGGAUCUUUGUGAGUUCAAGGCCAGCCCAGUCUACAGAGCUAAUUCCAGACUAACCAGGGCUAUAAAGUAAGACCCUGUUUCAAAAUCAAAACAGAUUUCCAAGAGUUUGUAUAAAGAACAGUUUAUUCGUUAAGCUUUGAGCUCUCUCUUUGAAAUCCUGGACCUAAGAGUAGUAAGAAGACUGCGUGCAGUGUGUUGAAUAGUCUGUGGGACAUAGGAAGAUGACCUUGCAGUGCAGUGUCAUCUUUUGAUGAUGUGCAGUGAAGAGGUUUUAUUCAACUAAGUGCGUCUUUUGUUCAUAGUUCCAAACAUCCUGUGUGGAGGUAGCGUGGUCGAGCGGUCUAAGGCGUUGGAUUAAGGCUCUAGUCUCUCUGGGGACAUGGGUUUGAAUCCAACUAAUACUUUCUUUUGGGACAGGGCAGUUUUUGGUCCCUAAUAUCAUUCAGGAUUCUCCUCUCCCACCAUCUGCUUUUCCAGGCUACUGAUAACAGUUACACAUAUCAUACCCACUGCACACCCAAGUAAUUGCGUCAAUUAACAGUUAAUAAUCCCAUAAUGUGUCUGGUACUCACUCCUCUAACUCUGCAUGUCCACUCCAAGAAAUGCUCCAGCAACAUAUUCCACACCGACUAUAGGCUACAUCCUGUAGAUUCUGCAGUUCUUCCUUGUUACCUUAGUCUACGAAUGAAGGAUUACUGUGGAACAUCACUUUCCGAGUCGACAUGCAACUAGAGACAGAUCGGCCUAGGGCACUGUAGAAGUGGAUUCUUUCCUAUCCGGGAGACCGAAAACUAAGUCUUCAUCAUCACCACAGACUUCUUUCUCAUUUCAUUUUGAACCUGAAUCACGUUCAUCUGAGCUGUGUGUGUCUAAGAAAUGCCUUGCAAAAGGAAGCAAAAAUGAUCAAAAUAUAUUGUAUAAAUUUUUCAAUAAAAAUAAAUUAAUUAACAAUGCAA
Rattus norvegicus (Norway rat) is the source of this 1315-nucleotide non-coding RNA. The record is from RefSeq and is a predicted model, not a curated record. Lineage: Eukaryota; Metazoa; Chordata; Mammalia; Rodentia; Muridae.